RNAcentral lists this non-coding RNA (31 nucleotides) under Mus musculus (house mouse). The record is from RNAcentral. Lineage: Eukaryota; Metazoa; Chordata; Mammalia; Rodentia; Muridae.
UAGACUUCGUCAAGAGCAACACCUUUCCCUG